GACGUUGUAGUUUAAUUGGAAGAAUGCUCGCCCGUCAGGCGAGAGGUGUAAGUUCGAGUCUUAUCGCCGUCA
Molecule: transfer RNA, 72 nt
Filed under: Chitinophaga filiformis
Lineage: Bacteria; Pseudomonadati; Bacteroidota; Chitinophagia; Chitinophagales; Chitinophagaceae
Description: tRNA-Asp
Rfam family: tRNA
About the family: Transfer RNA (tRNA) molecules are approximately 80 nucleotides in length.
Source: RNAcentral